Molecule: unclassified non-coding RNA, 263 nt
Filed under: fungal sp.
Lineage: Eukaryota; Fungi
Description: partial internal transcribed spacer region
Rfam family: Eukaryotic small subunit ribosomal RNA (bases 1-46)
Source: RNAcentral
AAGUCGUAACAAGGUUUCCGUAGGUGAACCUGCGGAAGGAUCAUUAACACGUAUCCAACGUUAAACAACCCUGUGAACUUUAAGCCUACUCUUGCAGCCCAUGAGGAACAGCAAUCCCGGUAAAUCAUUGCCAAACAGUUUUGAUUCGGGACCUCUGUCCAAAAGGAGUUGCAAUUGAGUGGCACUAGAAAAUGCCCCGCCUAGUGGUAACGCGCUAGGUAAAAAAAACCGAACAACUGUUAACAAUGGAUAUCUUGGUUCUC